Molecule: ribosomal RNA, 491 nt
Filed under: uncultured bacterium
Lineage: Bacteria
Description: partial 16S ribosomal RNA
Rfam family: Bacterial small subunit ribosomal RNA
Source: RNAcentral
AGUGAACGCUGGCGGUAGGCCUAACACAUGCAAGUCGAACGGCAGCACAGUAAGAGCUUGCUCUUACGGGUGGCGAGUGGCGGACGGGUGAGGAAUACAUCGGAAUCUACUUUUUCGUGGGGGAUAACGUAGGGAAACUUACGCUAAUACCGCAUACGACCUACGGGUGAAAGCAGGGGAUCUUCGGACCUUGCGCGAUUGAAUGAGCCGAUGUCGGAUUAGCUAGUUGGCGGGGUAAAGGCCCACCAAGGCGACGAUCCGUGGCUGGUCUGAGAGGAUGAUAAGCCACACUGGAACUGAGACACGGUCCAGACUCCUACGGGAGGCAGCAGUGGGGAAUAUUGGACAAUGGGCGCAAGCCUGAUCCAGCCAUACCGCGUGGGUGAAGAAGGCCUUCGGGUGGUAAAGCCCUUUUGUUGGGAAAGAAAAGCAGCAGGUUAAUACCCCGCUGUCCUGACGGUACCCAAAGAAUAGCACCGGCUAACUUCGUG